AGGACGAACGCUGGCGGCGUGCUUAACACAUGCAAGUCGAGCGGAAAGGCCCUUCGGGGUACUCGAGCGGCGAACGGGUGAGUAACACGUGAGCAACCUGCCCUUAGCUUCGGGAUAGCUCCGGGAAACCGGAAUUAAUACCGAAUAUGACCAAGGCCGACAUCAGUCUUGGUGGAAAGUUUUUCGGCUAGGGAUGGACUCGCGGCCUAUCAGCUAGUUGGUGAGGUAACGGCUCACCAAGGCAACGACGGGUAGCCGGCCUGAGAGGGCGACCGGCCACACUGGGACUGAGACACGGCCCAGACUCCUACGGGAGGCAGCAGUGGGGAAUAUUGCGCAAUGGGCGAAAGCCUGACGCAGCGACGCCGCGUGGGGGAUGGAAUGCCUUCGGGUUGUAAACCCCUUUCAGCAGGGACGAAGCGAAAGUGACGGUACCUGCAGAAGAAGCGCCGGCUAACUACGCGCCAGCAGCCGC
Molecule: ribosomal RNA, 475 nt
Filed under: uncultured bacterium
Lineage: Bacteria
Description: SSU rRNA
Rfam family: Bacterial small subunit ribosomal RNA
Source: RNAcentral